Molecule: ribosomal RNA, 1596 nt
Filed under: Sillago sihama (northern whiting)
Lineage: Eukaryota; Metazoa; Chordata; Actinopteri; Sillaginidae
Description: partial 16S ribosomal RNA
Rfam family: Bacterial large subunit ribosomal RNA
Source: RNAcentral
AAACCAUUCUCCCCCCUUAGUACGGGCGACGGAAAAGGGAUACGAGGAGCUAUAGAGAAAGUACCGCAAGGGAAUGCUGAAAGAGAAAUGAAAUAACCCAGUAAAGCGCAAAAAAGCAGAGGUUCUUCCUCGUACCUUUUGCAUCAUGAUCUAGCCAGUAAGACUUAAGCAAAGAGCACUUUAGUUUAAGACCCCGAAACUAUGGUGAGCUACUCCGAGACAGCCUAUAAUAGGGCGAAUCCGUCUCUGUGGCAAAAGAGUGGAAAGAGCUCCGAGUAGUGGUGACAGACCUAUCGAACCUAGUUAUAGCUGGUUGCCUGAGAAAUGGAUAAGAGUUCAGCCUCAUGGCUUCUUCCCUUAGAACCUUGCCCUUCGGCCCAAGAAAAACAAAGGAAACCAUGGGAGUUAAUCAAAGGAGGCCCAGCUCCUUUGAUAAAAGACACAACUUUCCUAGGAGGGUACAGAUCAUAUUCCCCUCAAGGCUUGGUGUCCUGGUGGGCCUAAGAGCAGCCAUCCAUGUGAAAAGCGUUAAAGCUCAAACACGUCAGCCUCCCUGUAAUAAUGAUAAUUACAUCUCAACCCCCUUGAUCCUACCAGGCCGUUCCAUACCCCUAUGGAAGCGAUUAUGCUAGAAUGAGUAAUAAGAGGGCACGACCCUCUCCCCGCACACGUGUUCAUCGACCCGGACCCACCAUCGAACUUUAACGGCCCCAAUAAUAGAGGGAAGUGAUUAACAAAAGAGACAACAGGACAAGCACUCAGCCACUUAACCCACCGUUGACCCCACACUGGAGUGCCACUCGGGAAAGACCAAAAGAAGAAGAAGGAACUCGGCAAACACCUAAAGCCUCGCCUGUUUACCAAAAACACCGCCUCUUGCAAGAUUAACGAAUAAGAGGUCCCGCCUGCCCUGUGACCAGUGAGUUCAACGGCCGCGGUAUCCUGACCGUGCGAAGGUAGCGCAAUCAAUUGCUCCUUAAAUGGGGGCCUGUAUGAAUGGCGCAACGAGGGCUUAACUGUCUCCUUUUUCAGGUCAGUGAAAUUGAUCUCCCCGUGCAGAAGCGGGGCUAAAACCAUAAGACGAGAAGACCCUAUGGAGCUUUAGACACCAAGGCAGACCAGGUUUAUCACCCCCCUUUAAAGGGCAAAACUUUUUGGCCUCCUGCCCUAAUGUCUUCGGUUGGGGCGACCCCGGGGGAAAGAAAAGCCCCCGAGCAGAAAGAGAAUCUAAUUCUCCUAGCCAAGAGUCUCCACUCUAAUAAUCAGAACCUCUGACUUAACUGAUCCGGCAAUGCCGAUCAACGGACCAAGUUACCCUAGGGAUAACAGCGCAAUCCUCUUUUAGAGCCCAUAUCGACAAGGGGGUUUACGACCUCGAUGUUGGAUCAGGACAUCCUAAUGGCGCAGCCGCUAUUAAGGGUUCGUUUGUUCAACGAUUAAAGUCCUACGUGAUCUGAGUUCAGACCGGAGCAAUCCAGGUCGGUUUCUAUCUAUGCUAUGAUCUUUUCUAGUACGAAAGGACCGGAAAGAAAGGGCCCCUACUUCAAGCACGCCCCACCCCUAACUAAUGAAUACAACUAAAUUAGAGAAAGGGGC